UACAGAGGGGGCAAGCGUUAUUCGGAAUUAUUGGGCGUAAAGGGCGCGUAGGCGGCUUUGCAAGUGGCGGGUGAAAUCCCUCGGCUUAACCGAGGAACUGCCUGUCAAACUGCAUGGCUUGAGACCGGGAGAGGUGAGUGGAAUUCCCAGUGUAGCGGUGAAAUGUGUAGAUAUUGGGAGGAACACCAGUGGCGAAGGCGGCUCACUGGACCGGUACUGACGCUGAUGCGCGAAAGCGUGGGGAGCAAACAGG
Molecule: ribosomal RNA, 253 nt
Filed under: uncultured bacterium
Lineage: Bacteria
Description: partial 16S ribosomal RNA
Rfam family: Bacterial small subunit ribosomal RNA
Source: RNAcentral